RNAcentral lists this long non-coding RNA (229 nucleotides) under Nicotiana benthamiana. RNAcentral's name for it is "long non-coding RNA (NBEN_LNC026768)". Lineage: Eukaryota; Viridiplantae; Streptophyta; Magnoliopsida; Solanales; Solanaceae. The record is from RNAcentral.
CAAUCGAUUAUACAGUUUUAACAAUCGAUUGUAUUAAGACAGUGUGAUCUGAAGUUUUUCAAAAUAGCAAACAAUCGAUUAUAUACUUCUAACAAUCGACUGUAUUGAGACAGCACUUAAACUGAAUUUUUCAAUCAGCUAGAUAAUCGACUAUAUGUUCUUAACAAUCGAUUAUAAUCAGAAUAAUCGAUUAUGGUUUUUAUACAAUCGAUUAUAUUCAGACCGUUCC